RNAcentral lists this long non-coding RNA (1472 nucleotides) under Strigops habroptila (Kakapo). RNAcentral describes it as "lncRNA (ENSSHBG00005013624.1)". The record is from RNAcentral. Lineage: Eukaryota; Metazoa; Chordata; Aves; Psittaciformes; Psittacidae.
AUAUCAUCUGUAAAUGUUUAUUUUAGAAGAUAAGUGUAAGCUUUGUUUGUACAUUAAACACCAUCAAAAGGAAUAGCUACAGAAGGCAGCUGAUACAAGAAUUUGGAUAACUGGCUUCUGACAAGCUUUGACAUCUGCAAAGGGACUACAUCUCUCUGCAUUGCUCUAUCAAUUUACCUUCUAGUUACCCACUCUUUGUAGAAGAUUUUGACUUUUUCCUAUUUACAUUAUGUCUAUUAAGGCUGCUGUUUGAGCAAAUACAUAAAGCUUAAAAAUGAAACAGGGAUCAAGGAGACAUUUACUGCAUUAGUGAACUACUCUAUGAGAACACAUCAACAUGGAAGAAAAACACCCCAAAACACAAAAAGACAGCUUGAAGGACUGGACCUCAUAAGUGCUUCUUAUUCAAUAUUCCUUAUACUAAGCAAGUCUGGAAUGGGGGAGACUCUAUAGAUCAAGAUACUGAUCGCUCUCACACCUGCAGCUACUCAACACUCAGAUAUUCUAGGGAUUCUUGCUGCUGUCUUUUAUGGGGUUUUUUUUGUGUGGGUUUUUUUUUUUUUUUUUUUAAACCACUGUGCUAGAGUAAUGUGAUUAAAACUCAGUUGAAGUCAUGGCAUCUUCAGUAAGCAAAGUUAUACUCCAGUUUCCACUAUAAACCACACCUGAAAAAGCAAGAGUGUUAGAAACUGUUCAGAUGACUAAGGAUAUUUACCUAAACCGAUGUUCACUAGAGAACUGGAUGAAAGCAACCAGACAAGAGAAACAUCAACAAAGCCCAUAUGGUGUAGACCAGGGCCAAAUCACAAUAAACCAGACUGAAUGGCUGUACGGAAACUUCGGUUUUAUCCCCAGACCGAAAGGGCCAGGUUCACCACUGGCGGUUCUCUGAGGAGCAUUAACUCAAACCACAGGCGUUACAGCUUGGGCUGAGCUUUGCCCCCAGGCUCCCACUGGUGCGGCCUUCCCUUUGCGGAGAGAACAAAACACGAAGAGAGACGACACUUUCCCUUCCCAACACAGCCCACCGCAGCAUCUUCCUUCAGACUCGCCGGCCCGGGGGUAGGGAGCAGGCGGUCCCUCCACGCAAGGCCUCUCUCUGAAGAGGUGCUGCAAGCCGAGCCAGGCCCGGCGCCUCGGCGGCACCCCGAGCUCCCCCACCAUGUAACCGCAAGCCUCGGCAGCCGCUACUCCGUGGCGGGACGGCUCAGGGAUCCCUUCCAUCACCACCGCGGAGCAGGCCUCGCUCGGGGAGCACAGCCGAUGGUAAAGCCCAGCUUUACAGCUGGCGGCUGCUGCCCGCCAAGCUCGGGGAGCCGCAGGACCACCGCUCCGCCCCGAGGGGAGAGAGCGACGGUGGCGCUCCCCACAGCGGGCCGCCUCGGCUGCCCUGCGAGACAAGAGAAGGGUAGACGCCGAGGAGGCCCCACAGCUCUCCGGCGGCCAUGCCGCGCGCGGGACAGCUGUGCUCC